Non-coding RNA from Paramuricea clavata, 73 nucleotides. The record is from the annotation of a GenBank genome assembly. NCBI's taxonomy places the organism in Eukaryota, Metazoa, Cnidaria, Anthozoa, Malacalcyonacea, Plexauridae.
GACCGCGUAGCUCAGUUGGCAGAGCAUUGGGCUAGUAUUCCAAAGGUCGUAGGUUCGAUUCCCACCGUUGGCA